Molecule: long non-coding RNA, 233 nt
Filed under: Homo sapiens (human)
Lineage: Eukaryota; Metazoa; Chordata; Mammalia; Primates; Hominidae
Description: non-protein coding lnc-HS6ST3-1:1
Source: RNAcentral
AAAGAUUAUAUUUAGCUACAGCAGUUGAUAAUUACAAUAUGAUUUUAAAACCCUCACACAUUACUUUGAUUAAAAUAACUCAUCAACUACUAUUAAGUUAUUGCUCUAAUUAAAGUAAAAAAACAUCUAUACGUAGGUAGAAUCUAAGAAAUAUUUUAAUAAAAUCAACUUUAUCCUAGGAAAGACAUGCUUCAUAGUUAUUGAAAAAAUUCUAUUAAAAUUUUAUGAUACUU